This 503-nucleotide ribosomal RNA is filed under the name uncultured Sphingobacteriales bacterium. RNAcentral's name for it is "bacterial SSU rRNA". It matches the Rfam family "Bacterial small subunit ribosomal RNA", at positions 904 to 1382 of the family's 1533-position model. The record is from RNAcentral. Lineage: Bacteria; Pseudomonadati; Bacteroidota; Sphingobacteriia; Sphingobacteriales.
CGCCUUGCCAGCCCGCUCAGAAACUUAAGGAAUUGACGGGGCCCGCACAAGCGGAGGAGCAUGUGGUUUAAUUCGAUGAUACGCGAGGAACCUUACCUGGGCUCGAACGUAAGAUGACUGUAGGUGGAAGCUUACAUCUCUUCGGAGCAUUUUACGAGGUGCUGCAUGGUUGUCGUCAGCUCGUGCCGUGAGGUGUCGGGUUAAGUCCCAUAACGAGCGCAACCCCUACCUUUAGUUGCCAUCAGGUUAAGCUGGGGACUCUAAAGGAACUGCCUACGCAAGUAGUGAGGAAGGCGGGGAUGACGUCAAAUCAGCACGGCCCUUACGUCCAGGGCUACACACGUGCUACAAUGGCCGAUACAGAGGGCAGCUACCUGGUGACAGGAUGCAAAUCUCCAAAGUCGGUCUCAGUUCGGAUCGGAGUCUGCAACCCGACUCCGUGAAGUUGGAUUCGCUAGUAAUCGCGCAUCAGCCAUGGCGCGGUGAAUACGUUCCCGGGCCUU